AAGAAAGUAAGCAAGGGCGCAUGGCGGAUGCCUUGGCUCUCGGAGGCGAUGAAGGACGUGAUAAGCUGCGAUAAGCUUCGGGAAGGUGCAAAUAACCAUUGAUCCGAAGAUUUCCGAAUGGGACAACCCGRCAUUCUGAAGGAAUGUCAUCCAACUAAGUUGGAAGCUAACGCAGGGAACUGAAACAUCUUAGUACCUGCAGGAAAAGAAAAUAAUAAUGAUUCCCCAAGUAGUGGCGAGCGAACGGGGAUUAGCCCAAACCAAUUUUGUUACGGCAAAAUUGGGGUUGUAGGACCACGAUAUCGCAAGAAAUUUGGUGAGAAGAAUUCUUUGGAAAAUGAAACCAUAGAGGGUGAUAGUCCCGUAUUCGAAGCCAGACGAAGCGUAGUGGUAUCCUGAGUAGCGCGGGACACGAGAAAUCUUGCGUGAAUCCGCCGGGACCAUCCGGUAAGGCUAAAUACUCCCGAGAGACCGAUAGCGAACCAGUACUGUGAAGGAAAGGUGAAAAGCACUUCGAACAGAAGAGUGAAAUAGUCCCUGAAACCAUGCGCCUACAAGCGGUCGGAGCAGCGUAAGUUGUGACGGCGUGCCUUUUGCAUAAUGAACCUACGAGUUACUUUUUCCGGCAAGGUUAAGCAUCUUGAGAUGCGCAGCCGAAGCGAAAGCGAGUCUGAACAGGGCGAUAAGUCGGAAGGAGUAGACGCGAAACCAAGUGAUCUACCCUUGGUCAGGUUGAAGGUUAGGUAACACUAACUGGAGGACCGAACCGAUAAGCGUUGAAAAGCUUCCGGAUGAACUGAGGGUGGGGGUGAAAGGCUAAUCAAACUUGGAGAUAGCUCGUACUCCCCGAAAUGCAUUUAGGUGCAGCCUUGUGAGUUACUAAUGUGAGGUAGAGCGACUGAUAAGAUGCGAGGGCUUCAYCGCCUAUCAAGUCUUGAUAAACUCCGAAUGCGCAUUAGUCCUAUCACAGGAGUGAGGGCAUGGGUGCUAAGGUCCAUGUCCUAAAGGAGAAGAAUCCGGACCAUCAGCUAAGGUCCCGAAAUAAUUGCUAAGUUGAACUAACGAAGUCAGAUUGCUAAGACAGCUAGGAUGUUGGCUUGGAAGCAGCCAUUCAUUUAAAGAGUGCGUAACAGCUCACUAGUCGAGGAGUUUGGCGUGGAUAAUAAUCGGGCAUCAAGCAAUUUACCGAAGCUAUGGGAUGUGUAAACAUCGGUAGGGGAGCAUUCCACUCCGCGUUGAAGGUGAAGCGUGAGCUUUUCUGGAGCGUGUGGAAAAGCAAAUGUAGGUAUAAGUAACGAUAAAGGGGGUGAGAAACCCCCUCGCCGAAAGACUAAGGUUUCCUGAUCAACGCUAAUCGGAUCAGGGUUAGUCGGGUCCUAAGGCUCAGCCGAACGGUGAUGCCGAUGGCAGAACAGGUUAAUAUUCCUGUACUACCUGACGGAGUGACGUGGAGACGGAGUCGUGACAACGCCGCGGACUGACGGAAUAGUCCGUUGAAGGGUGUAGAUGUUGAUCUUUGCAGGCAAAUCCACAAAGAGAGUCGAACCUGAUAGUAUACCAAUUCCUUCGGGAAACGGUAAUAGCGCGUGUAAACAUACUCCCAAGAAAAUCCGCUAAACUUAAUCCUUCAGGUACCCGUACCGCAAACGGACACACGUAGUCGGGUUGAAUAUACUAAGGCGCUUGAGUGAUUCACGGUUAAGGAACUAGGCAAACUGACCCUGUAACUUCGGGAUAAAGGGUCCCUACGGCGACGUAGGGCGCAGAGAAUAGGUCCAGGCAACUGUUUAACAAAAACACAGGGCUGUGCCAAAUUGAAAGAUCACGUAUACAGCCUGACACCUGCCCGGUGCUGGAAGGUUAAGAGGAGAUGUCAUCGCAAGAGAAGCAUUGAAUUGAAGCCCCAGUAAACGGCGGCCGUAACUAUAACGGUCCUAAGGUAGCGAAAUUCCUUGUCGGGUAAGUUCCGACCUGCACGAAUGGUGUAAUGAUCUGGACACUGUCUCAACCGUGAGCUCAGUGAAAUUGUAGUAUCGGUGAAGAUGCCGAUUACCCGCGAUGGGACGAAAAGACCCCGUGAACCUUUACUAUAGCUUAACAUUGAAUUUGGGUAAUUGAUGUGUAGGAUAGGCCGGAGACUUUGAAGCGCAGACGCCAGUWUKUGUGGAGUCGCUGUUGAAAUACGGCCCUUUGAUUAUUUGAGUUCUAACUCCUGGACARGAGGACACUGUUUGGUGGGUAGUUUGACUGGGGUGGUCGCCUCCAAAAGUGUAACGGAGGCUUCUAAAGGUGCCCUCAUGACGAUUGGUAACCGUCAGUAGAGUGUAAUGGCAUAAGGGCGCUUGACUGGGAGACAUACACGUCGAUCAGGUAGGAAACUAGAGCAUAGUGAUCCGGUGUUUCCGCAUGGAAGGGACAUCGCUCAAAGGAUAAAAGGUACUCCGGGGAUAACAGGCUGAUCCCUCCCAAGAGCUCAUAUCGACGGAGGGGUUUGGCACCUCGAUGUCGGCUCGUCACAUCCUGGGGCUGGAGAAGGUCCCAAGGGUUGGGCUGUUCGCCCAUUAAAGUGGCACGCGAGCUGGGUUCAGAACGUCGUGAGACAGUUCGGUCUCUAUCUAUCGUGGGCGUAUGAAAUUUGCGUGGCUCUGACACUAGUACGAGAGGACCGUGUUGGACCGACCUCUGGUUUACCAGUUGUGCCGCCAGGUGCAUCGCUGGGUAUCUAAGUCGGGAUUGGAUAAGUGCUGAAAGCAUCUAAGUACGAAGCCAGCCACAAGAUUAGAUUUCUUAGGGUCGUCAAAGACGAUGACGUUGAUAGGAUGCAGGUGUACUCUGGUUUACCAGUUGUGCCGCCAGGUGCAUCGCUGGGUAUCUAAGUCGGGAUUGGAUAAGUGCUGAAAGCAUCUAAGUACGAAGCCAGCCACAAGAUUAGAUUUCUUAGGGUCGUCAAAGACGAUGACGUUGAUAGGAUGCAGGUGUACAGGUGGUAACAUCAUAGCCGAGCAUUACUAAUUGCCCGUUCACUUUCUUU
RNAcentral lists this ribosomal RNA (3031 nucleotides) under Bacteroides acidifaciens. Its description in RNAcentral is "23S ribosomal RNA". It matches the Rfam family "Bacterial large subunit ribosomal RNA". The record is from RNAcentral. Lineage: Bacteria; Pseudomonadati; Bacteroidota; Bacteroidia; Bacteroidales; Bacteroidaceae.